Molecule: long non-coding RNA, 866 nt
Filed under: Homo sapiens (human)
Lineage: Eukaryota; Metazoa; Chordata; Mammalia; Primates; Hominidae
Description: non-protein coding DIO3OS:4
Rfam family: mir-1247 microRNA precursor family (bases 12-85)
Source: RNAcentral
CAGCCCCGGCCGCUGGGCGCACCCGUCCCGUUCGUCCCCGGACGUUGCUCUCUACCCCGGGAACGUCGAGACUGGAGCGCCCGAACUGAGCCACCUUCGCGGACCCCGAGAGCGGCGGCGCGACUCACCGCGGAGGCGCCCGGACGCGUCAAGCCCAGCCCAAUAGGAAGCACCUGAUCCACACUCUUUCUAGCCCCAGGGAUGCUCAGGAAAGCAGCCUUUCUUUAGGGCUGUCAUCUGUUCUGGGGAUCUGUUGCUGUUUCUUGGGCCCACAGAAUACACUCCACACCUCGGGACUCCAUAAUAUUGGACAAGGCUGGAAGGCCCAUUUGGCUCCUGCAGCCUCUUAUGCAGGAGGACCUCCUGAGGCUUCGGGCAGGAGCUGGUGCACACCUGGAGGAGAGUGCUGGUGAAUGGCAGGUGUGUGCCUCAGUGUCCUUGCUGCCAGGGUGUCAGCCCUGCUUCACCACUGGCCGUUUGUCUCUGUCCCCUCCACUGGCCUCUUGAAGCACAGAGACCCUCCGGGUACUUUCCUUCCUCUGGGCUUCCACUCAUGCUAUUCCCUGCUCCCUUUUUCUACCUGGAGACCCCCAUUCCUCCUCCUCCUCUGCUGCCCUCACCUCCACCUGGGCCCUCCCAGCUCCCGGGAGAUGGCUGAACCCCACUCCCCACCCGCUAGUCAUCCUCUUCAGCGGUCCUCCCAGAGCUGUCCUCAGCAUGGCAGCCUCCACAGCCCCUGGGUGUCACCCCCGGUUUCGUGUCUGCCUCGGACUCCAGACCUGCCCCUCCCAGGCUGGCCCAGAUGGAUCCUCUACAGUGACUAACCCAAACCAGCACCAGGCAGGGACCCAAUAAACCUUUGUGAA